GGGUAAUCGACUGAAUCCUCCCGAGGGACAUGGACGCCAUGGAGAACCCAGUCCUGGAGCCCAGGGCCGAGCGGAUCGCUCGCUAUAAAGCUGAGAGGAGGCGAGAACUGGCCGAACGCUUUGGCAACAUGGAGGAGCUGCCCUCCAACUGCGUGAGGAGGGAUGGUAGAGAGGGGCCCGACCCAGCGACCGAAGCCCACAGAGGGACUUUGAACUCAGAUGGCCGCAGUGAAAGUGUGAACGGCGGGACGCGAGGGGUUACAAAUGGAUUAGAGGAUCCUGCAGAGUCCAACCCCUUGAGAAGGCAGGGUUCCCCGGACUCUGCCAGCAUGCUGAGUGGGGAGGGGCACCUCGUCCCUCUUGGACUCGAUGCCCCGCAGCUCCACACUCGAGUGUCGGUGGGCCAGUUGAGAAGUGCUCUUCUGCAGCAGAGCGGCAGCGGAGGGCAGUCCGACAAAGUGCUGUUGGACGCGGAGGAAGGGGAGAACUGUAAAGCUGAUGUGAAAACAGACGACAGAGCCAAAAUGAGUGUGGCAGCCAAGAUGUCGUUGUUUAAAGAGCUGGAGAAGUCUGCUGCGCCCGAGGCCUCGGCCUUCCUCAAGCCUCGCUCGGGCAGCCUCUGUCAUGAACGCAAGGUGCGCCGUGGCAACGACCAACGGUUUCUAACUCAGCCAAUCACCUGUGAGGAAAUCGUGGCAAUCAGG
This 704-nucleotide long non-coding RNA is filed under the name Cyclopterus lumpus (lumpfish). Its description in RNAcentral is "lncRNA (ENSCLMG00005012978.1)". Lineage: Eukaryota; Metazoa; Chordata; Actinopteri; Perciformes; Cyclopteridae. The record is from RNAcentral.